UGUAUCCCUCUCUUUGGUGGAUUAGAACUCCACCAGAAUUGGGCGAUGACACUGGCUAGGUUUUCACAUAUCUCCAAAGGGAGCAGGAAAGUAGACAUAACGUAUGGGAAGAGCGAGCAAAAUGGACUUAAUCAGUACUUCCUUUCCACCUUUUGAGAACCAUCUACCUGUCCAUCCAUUCACUCUAUGCAUCAACUUGUCCUUUAGAAAAGCAAAAAGUUUGCAUUUAGAUCCACUUAUGUCUUUGGAGAUGCCUAGGUAAGUUCCCAUUCCUC
This 275-nucleotide long non-coding RNA is filed under the name Brassica napus (rape). RNAcentral describes it as "long non-coding RNA (BNAP_LNC027131)". Lineage: Eukaryota; Viridiplantae; Streptophyta; Magnoliopsida; Brassicales; Brassicaceae. The record is from RNAcentral.